RNAcentral lists this long non-coding RNA (215 nucleotides) under Musa acuminata (dwarf banana). Its description in RNAcentral is "long non-coding RNA (MACU_LNC000442)". The record is from RNAcentral. Lineage: Eukaryota; Viridiplantae; Streptophyta; Magnoliopsida; Zingiberales; Musaceae.
CGCCACAAACUGCUUCGCUUAACAAUAUGAUACGACAGCUAAAAGCAGUCUUCGUCUGUUCUCAGGGAAGAAACACAUGUAAAGCCUUUAGGCUAUGGCCUGAGCAAGCCGACUCGAUUGGGUGUACAUGCUCGCCAUCGAAAAGUCACCGGCGGCACGUAUUGCAUGAAAGUCGAGACACGAGUCAGAUGUCGAUGCAGUGGACGUGGAACCCG